RNAcentral lists this ribosomal RNA (726 nucleotides) under uncultured Anaerolineae bacterium. RNAcentral describes it as "bacterial SSU rRNA". It matches the Rfam family "Bacterial small subunit ribosomal RNA", at positions 123 to 864 of the family's 1533-position model. The record is from RNAcentral. Lineage: Bacteria; Bacillati; Chloroflexota; Anaerolineae.
GACCUACCCCAAAGUGCGGGAUAACAGUCCGAAAGGAUUGCUAAUACCACAUGUGGUCUCCGGGUUUAGAAACCGGUGACUAAAGGAGCAAUUCGCUUUGGGAGGGACCUGCGUCCCAUCAGCUAGUUGGUGAGGUAAUGGCUCACCAAGGCGACGACGGGUAGGGGACCUGAGAGGGUGGCCCCCCACAAUGGAACUGAAACACGGUCCAUACACCUACGGGUGGCAGCAGUAGGGAAUAUUGGUCAAUGGGCGAAAGCCUGAACCAGCAAUGCCGCGUGUGCGAUGAAGGCCUUCGGGUCGUAAAGCACUUUUCUGGGAGAUGAGAAAGGACAGUAUCCCAGGAAUAAGUCUCGGCUAACUACGUGCCAGCAGCCGCGGUAAUACGUAGGAGGCGAGCGUUAUCCGGAUUCACUGGGCGUAAAGCGCGUGCAGGUGGCUUGGUAAGUUAGGCGUGAAAUCUCCCGGCUCAACUGGGAGAGGUCGUCUAAUACUACCGGGCUUGAGAGCAGAAGAGGAAGAUGGAAUUCCCGGUGUAGUGGUGAAAUGCGUAGAUAUCGGGAGGAACACCAGUGGCGAAGGCGAUCUUCUGGUCUGUUUCUGACACUCAGACGCGACAGCUAGGGUAGUAAACGGGAUUAGAGACCCCGGUAAUCCUAGCCGUAAACGAUGUAAACUUGGCGUUGGUGGGUUAAACUCCAUCAGUGCCGCAGCAAACGCGAUAAG